UGAAUUUCCAGCCUUGUUAGCAAUCCCGGCUCGGGGUUCAUUGCUAACCAGAAGCCCCAACAGGUUGAAAUGCAUUCCAGGUGACUACCUCAUGAAGCUGGUUGAGAUAAUGCCAACCAAGGCAAAGGGUGGCUACUUAGAACAAUCUCAAAUAUAUUUUGAUUUGUUUGAAACUUUUUUGGUUACUAAAUUAUUCCAUAUGUGUUAUUUAAUAAUUUUGAUGUCUUCAAUAUUAUUCUACAAGGUAGAAAGUUGUAUAAAUAAAGAAAAACCUUGGAAUGAGUCGGUGCGUCUAAACUUUUGACUGGUACUGUAAAUGGAAAGAUCAUGUCAUAAAUGUUGAAAUAAAGUGUAAGAAGGUGCUGAAUCUUAUGAGCUCGGUCUCUGGUUAUGAAUGGGGUGCUGACAGACAAUCGUUGAAAGAUAUUUAUAGAGUUCGAAUCAGGAUGACAAUUGAUUACGGGUAAAUAGUUUAUGGAAAAGCGGCAACGACUUGGCUUUAGAAGCUGGACAGAAUCCAGUAUAUAGCUUUAAGGUGUCAUGACUCUCCUGGCUGAGGAUCCAAGGCCUCAUAUCAGCUUGGCAAAUGGCUGACGAUGACCAGACCCAUCUCACCCACAUAAGAGAAGAGAGGGGGGGCUGGGCCGGUUUUGACACCUUAAAACUCUGUCAAAAAUUCGAGGGAAAUCUCCCGCUUGCUCUUCAGUAUUGGGAAAGAAAUGUUCCUUUGUCUACGGAAGACCUUUGCCGCUAAGACUAUAACGUCCAAAAAGUAAACACUGGAACAAUAUUUCUAACAUCCGUCUUUUGGAAUGGUCAAUGGGG
Molecule: long non-coding RNA, 825 nt
Filed under: Salmo salar (Atlantic salmon)
Lineage: Eukaryota; Metazoa; Chordata; Actinopteri; Salmoniformes; Salmonidae
Description: lncRNA (ENSSSAG00000121765.1)
Source: RNAcentral